Molecule: long non-coding RNA, 1344 nt
Organism: Cavia porcellus (domestic guinea pig)
Lineage: Eukaryota; Metazoa; Chordata; Mammalia; Rodentia; Caviidae
Exons: 2
Source: RefSeq, a predicted model, not a curated record
UGUAGAUUUCACUCCGUCCGGGGUGGAACCCCGUGGCGGCGGAGGCGGGGCUGCAGGCUGAGGGUCUAGGGAAGCGGCUGCGACCAGGGUGGAGGAGGGGUGCAGCCGGCUAGGGAAUGGGGGCCCGAGACCGGGAAAGGAGAGGUCGGAGCGCUAGGCUGAGGAGCUGAUGACUGAAAGUAAAUCGAAAAGGAAAAGCCAAGUGCGCUGUCCCCCUUCCGGCUAUCCAGGCUUGGGGUGUUUGCAAAGCCUACUGUAGCCGAGAGUCCUACUGGACUCCUCAUCGGGGGUGCGGUGGGGACGGACAAGGGGGAGGGAACGCGAGCCCGGCGGCCACCUCUUACCGCCACCUUCCACCAAGCGCUUCGUGUUUGCCGAGAGAAAGCGACUGCUGCGUUGGAGGGAGGAGAAGCGCUCUUUCGCCUCCUCCCAAAUCCGGCUGGUUUCCUUCACGGACGUGACCUCGGGCUCCAAACGGAACCCGAUUUCUCCCUAACCUGGCAUCGGAUAAACGGACGGUUCUGGGAGGCUUGUGAUCCCCCGAGUGCCACCACCCCUUUGUAAUUUCACACCCACUUUCUGGAGCAGUACUUGGGCGGGGGGAAGGGUGUCCUAACUUGUCAGAUUCUCUGAGGGAUCCCUGAUUGAGCUGUCUUCUCUGCACCGCAGCGUCACCUGCUGCCAGGUGGUAAGAAUAAGGCGAGAGCAGUGGCUCCCGCUCGAACACCUGGCUGAGCGCAGGUGCUGGGCUCUGUGGCGCGAGCUGUCCGACCCUCGGGACUCGGUUUCCUCCAGGACAAAGAGUGGCUGAUCUCCAUGAAGCGCCACGCACACUCUGGUGCAGGAUCGCGCGUCCGGAAGCGGUUCUCCCGGAAGCCGUUGGUUCCGCCAGACCCACGCCCGACCCACGCAGGUCCUGCUGCUGCGAAGUUACUAUUCAUUCGCACGCGCGUGCACGAGCGUGCCCUUGCCCCCGCCAGCGCAGCCGCGUAAUCAAGGAGGGGAUUGUGCACGCGUCCCCCAGGCGGCCUCUCCCACUCCUGAAAGGCGCCUUUGUGGUGUGUUUUACACAGUUCUGACCUUGGGCCGUGAGUUGGAUGCGAACCAAAAAAUAACUGGCAUGGUUGCCGCCUCACAGUGACAACUGGGAAUGGAGUCAAGAUAGAAAUGAUGCGAAAGACACAGCAUGAGAGUAACACAGAACCCAGUUACAUUUUGGAUUAGAAGUGAGAUCAGAAGUAGAGUUAGAGAAUGAGGUUCAACCUGUCGAGAACAAAUUAGAUACAAUGGAAAUUAGAACUAUAAUAAAGGCAAUGUUGCCCUCUAGUGGUUAUCUGCGGGAAA